This is a non-coding RNA of Octopus bimaculoides (California two-spot octopus), 65 nucleotides long. The record is from the annotation of a RefSeq genome assembly. Lineage: Eukaryota; Metazoa; Mollusca; Cephalopoda; Octopoda; Octopodidae.
CAGUGAAAAGCCAAAUAGAGGCAUUUAACUGUUAAUUAAAAAAUUGAAAAACUUUUCUUCACUGG